Aegilops tauschii subsp. strangulata is the source of this 855-nucleotide long non-coding RNA. RefSeq lists it as uncharacterized. The record is from RefSeq and is a predicted model, not a curated record. Lineage: Eukaryota; Viridiplantae; Streptophyta; Magnoliopsida; Poales; Poaceae.
AAAACCAAUCGAUCUAUCUCGCCUACGGUCGGCCGUGUUAACCCAAUCAAUUUUUCCCUACCUCCUCACAGCCAUCCCCCGUCCCCAACCAAUCCAGUCCUCCCGCACGGCCACCGGCCCCGAAGUGUUUUACUCUCUUCCACCCCUUGGUCUUUCAUCUCUUCCUCCACCUUCCACCCAUGGUUCCUUUUAUCUUCCCAAAUCAAUAAAUCUCCACCGGGGUCCUUAUGAUUCUUCUCUUCUUCCGUCUAUUUAUGCAUCUCUCCAUUUUGUGUUGUCGUCGACCUAGAGCCCUGGCCGUCGGCGCGGACUAUGCUGGCCCAAGCCCUCCGCCUUGCUGCUGAGCUGACUUCUUAUUGAACCACGCAUGACAUCCCCGACGUCCUCCUGCAGCAUCACCUGCACCAGAGGAUCUCUGGGAACGAGAGCGCCGGCCGCAGGGUGUAGUUUGGCGGCGCUGAUGGAGGCCGCAUCGAGCAUGCGCAAGUGUACUUGAUCCCAAUCAAGUAGCACCUCCGUCGUCCAAGUUAGGAUCAGGAAGAUGAGUUCACUCCAGUCGUUCUUUGUCCAGAUCUCCGCGUCUGCACUGUUCCACUGGAGGCCUGGACAUUGGGUACUGUAACGAAUAACUAGGAGGCAUGUGCUUUGCGGUUCCUAAUGCAUGCAUAUAACUGUAUAUGCAUGUUCCUAUUUUUAUCAUUUUAGUAAUCUCUUCUUGACACUCACGAUUGGUUGGUGGCAUGACGUUAUGUACAAAUUCACAAAUUCUAAAAUGUAUGCAUGAAUUGCUGCUAGAUGUGUGCAUAGUUUGUGCGUUUCCUUUGAAGGUUGUGUGAAAAAAUUGCAUUCCUGUUA